CGCUGGCGGCAUGCUUACACAUGCAAGUCGGACGGCAGCGGGGUAGUGCUUGCACUACUGCCGGCGAGUGGCGAACGGGUGAGUAAUAUAUUGGAACGUACCGAGUAAUGGGGGAUAACCAAUCGAAAGAUUGGCUAAUACCGCAUACGCUCUGAGGAGGAAAGCAGGGGACCUUCGGGCCUUGCGUUAUUCGAGCGGCCAAUAUCUGAUUAGCUGGUUGGUGGGGUAAAGGCCUACCAAGGCGACGAUCAGUAGCGGGUCUGAGAGGAUGAUCCGCCACACUGGGACUGAGACACGGCCCAGACUCCUACGGGAGGCAGCAGUGGGGAAUUUUGGACAAUGGGCGCAAGCCUGAUCCAGCCAUGCCGCGUGUCUGAAGAAGGCCUUCGGGUUGUAAAGGACUUUUGUUAGGGAAGAAAAAGGAGCGGUUAAUACCCGUUUCUGCUGACGGUACCUAAAGAAUAAGCACCGGCUAACUACGUGCCAGCAGCCGCGGUAAUACGUAGGGUGCGAGCGUUAAUCGGAAUUACUGGGCGUAAAGCGAGCGCAGACGGUUACUUAAGCAGGAUGUGAAAUCCCCGGGCUCAACCUGGGAACUGCGUUCUGAACUGGGUAGCUAGAGUAUGUCAGAGGGGGGUAGAAUUCCACGUGUAGCAGUGAAAUGCGUAGAGAUGUGGAGGAAUACCGAUGGCGAAGGCAGCCCCCUGGGAUAAUACUGACGUUCAUGCUCGAAAGCGUGGGUAGCAAACAGGAUUAGAUACCCUGGUAGUCCACGCCCUAAACGAUGUCGAUUAGCUGUUGGGCAGCUUGACUGCUUAGUAGCGUAGCUAACGCGUGAAUCG
Molecule: ribosomal RNA, 842 nt
Filed under: uncultured Neisseria sp.
Lineage: Bacteria; Pseudomonadati; Pseudomonadota; Betaproteobacteria; Neisseriales; Neisseriaceae
Description: bacterial SSU rRNA
Rfam family: Bacterial small subunit ribosomal RNA
Source: RNAcentral